GUGAAAUUUGGGCGUCUCUUCCACAGAGAGCCCGUCUUCCACAUUUAACCCUGCGCACUUGACCCUAGUCUCGUGUGUUUGUCAGUCAAGCUCAGUUUCUUUAGAAACCGAGCUGGCGAAAACCUUUUUUAACGCAAGUUGAUGAAUGUAAUUUACAAACUAAACCAAAAA
This 171-nucleotide unclassified non-coding RNA is filed under the name uncultured Rozellomycota. RNAcentral's name for it is "uncultured Cryptomycota sequence contains ITS1". Lineage: Eukaryota; Fungi; Rozellomycota. The record is from RNAcentral.